This 893-nucleotide ribosomal RNA is filed under the name uncultured bacterium. RNAcentral's name for it is "bacterial SSU rRNA". It matches the Rfam family "Bacterial small subunit ribosomal RNA", at positions 12 to 936 of the family's 1533-position model. The record is from RNAcentral.
UUUGAUUCUGGCUCAGAAUCAACGCUGGCGGCGUGCCUAACACAUGCAAGUCGAACGGGAAAGGGGAGCAAUCCCUGAGUAUAGUGGCGACCGGGUGAGUAACACGUGACUACCUACCCUUGAGUGGGGGAUAACCUCGGGAAACCGAGGCUAAUACCGCAUAAUAUCGAAAGAUCAAAGGAGAAAUCCGCUUUUGGAGGGGGUCGCGGCUGAUUAGCUAGUUGGUAAGGUAAUGGCUCACCAAGGCGAAGAUCGGUAUCCGGCCUGAGAGGGCGCACGGACACACUGGAACUGAAACACGGUCCAGACUCCUACGGGAGGCAGCAGUGGGGAAUUUUGCGCAAUGGGGGAAACCCUGACGCAGCAACGCCGCGUGGAGGAUGAAGCUCCUUGGAGUGUAAACUCCUUUCGACCGGGAAAAUUAUGAUGGUACCGGUGGAAGAAGCACCGGCUAACUCUGUGCCAGCAGCCGCGGUAAUACAGAGGGUGCGAGCGUUGUUCGGAAUUAUUGGGCGUAAAGGGCGCGUAGGCGGUGUUGUAARUCACCUGUGAAACCUCUGGGCUUAACUCAGAGCCUGCAGGCGAAACUGCAAUGCUGGAGGGUGGGAGAGGUGCGUGGAAUUCCCGGUGUAGCGGUGAAAUGCGUAGAUAUCGGGAGGAACACCUGUGGCGAAAGCGGCGCACUGGACCACUACUGACGCUGAGGCGCGAAAGCUAGGGGAGCAAACAGGAUUAGAUACCCUGGGUAGUCCUAGCCCUAAACGAUGAUUGCUUGGUGUGAUCGGUACCCAAUCCGAUCGUGCCGCAGCUAACGCGAUAAGCAAUCCCACCUGGGGAGUACGGUCSCAAGGCUGAAACUCAAGGGAUUGACGGGGGACCGCACAAGCGGKGGA